GACGAACGCUGGCGGCGUGCUUAACACAUGCAAGUCGAACGGAGAAUUUUACUUCGGUGAAAUUCUUAGUGGCGAACGGGUGAGUAACGCGUAGACAACCUGCCUCUUAGAUGGGGACAACAUCGCGAAAGCGGUGCUAAUACCGAAUGAAGUGGAGCUUCCGCAUGGAAGCAUCACCAAAGGUGGCCUCUAUUUAUAAGCUACCACUGAGAGAUGGAUCUGCGUCUGAUUAGCUAGUUGGCGGGGUAAUGGCCCACCAAGGCGACGAUCAGUAGCCGGUCUGAGAGGAUGAACGGCCACAUUGGGACUGAGACACGGCCCAAACUCCUACGGGAGGCAGCAGUGGGGAAUCUUCCGCAAUGGACGAAAGUCUGACGGAGCAACGCCGCGUGAGUGAAGAAGGUUUUCGGAUCGUAAAGCUCUGUUGUUUGAGACGAAUGUGCAGACUUUGAAUAAGGGUUUGUAAUGACGGUAUUAAACGAGAAAGCCACGGCUAACUACGUGCCAGCAGCCGCAGUAA
RNAcentral lists this ribosomal RNA (520 nucleotides) under uncultured bacterium. RNAcentral describes it as "partial 16S ribosomal RNA". It matches the Rfam family "Bacterial small subunit ribosomal RNA", at positions 28 to 523 of the family's 1533-position model. The record is from RNAcentral.